UACAGAGGGUGCGAGCGUUAAUCGGAAUUACUGGGCGUAAAGCGCGCGUAGGCGGCUUUGCAAGUCGGGUGUGAAAUCCCCAGGCUUAACCUGGGAACUGCAUUCGAGACUGCAUUGCUAGAGUAUGGGAGAGGUGAGUGGAAUUCCCAGUGUAGCGGUGAAAUGCGUAGAUAUUGGGAGGAACACCAGUGGCGAAGGCGGCUCACUGGACCGGAACUGACGCUGAGGCGCGAAAGCGUGGGGAGCAAACAGG
Molecule: ribosomal RNA, 253 nt
Filed under: uncultured bacterium
Lineage: Bacteria
Description: partial 16S ribosomal RNA
Rfam family: Bacterial small subunit ribosomal RNA
Source: RNAcentral